Hibiscus syriacus is the source of this 107-nucleotide small nucleolar RNA. The record is from RefSeq and is a predicted model, not a curated record. NCBI's taxonomy places the organism in Eukaryota, Viridiplantae, Streptophyta, Magnoliopsida, Malvales, Malvaceae.
AACCCAUACAUAGGACAUUUUCGCAGCAAAUUCUUGAAACUUUCCCAAGCUUCAUACAAGCUUUCAUCAUCCAUCUACAUGAAUAAAGUUAAAUCAUUUCAGAGUUU